UACGUAGGGGGCGAGCGUUGUCCGGAAUUACUGGGCGUAAAGGGAGCGUAGGCGGUUAAUUAAGUUAGAUGUGAAAUACCCGGGCUUAACUUGGGGGGUGCAUCUAAUACUGGUAAACUAGAGUACAGGAGAGGAAAGCGGAAUUCCUAGUGUAGCGGUGAAAUGCAUAGAUAUUAGGAGGAACAUCGGUGGCGAAGGCGGCUUUCUGGACUGACACUGACGCUGAGGCUCGAAAGCGUGGGGAGCAAACAGG
This 253-nucleotide ribosomal RNA is filed under the name uncultured bacterium. RNAcentral's name for it is "partial 16S ribosomal RNA". It matches the Rfam family "Bacterial small subunit ribosomal RNA", at positions 524 to 776 of the family's 1533-position model. The record is from RNAcentral.